RNAcentral lists this ribosomal RNA (804 nucleotides) under uncultured bacterium. Its description in RNAcentral is "bacterial SSU rRNA". It matches the Rfam family "Bacterial small subunit ribosomal RNA", at positions 636 to 1440 of the family's 1533-position model. The record is from RNAcentral.
UNUGACUUGAGUGCAGAAGGGGAGAGUGGAAUUCCAUGUGUAGCGGUGAAAUGCGUAGAUAUAUGGAGGAACACCAGUGGCGAAAGCGGCUCUCUGGUCUGUCACUGACGCUGAGGCUCGAAAGCGUGGGUAGCGAACAGGAUUAGAUACCCUGGUAGUNCACGCCGUAAACGAUGAGUGCUAGGUGUUAGGCCCUUUCCGGGGCUUAGUGCCGGAGCUAACGCAAUAAGCACACCGCCUGGGGAGUACGACCGCAAGGUUGAAACUCAAAGGAAUUGACGGGGGCCCGCACAAGCGGUGGAGCAUGUGGUUUAAUUCGAAGCAACGCGAAGAACCUUACCAGGUCUUGACAUCCCGAUGCUAUUCUUAGAGAUAGGAAGUUACUUCGGUACAUCGGAGACAGGUGGUGCAUGGUUGUCGUCAGCUCGUGUCGUGAGAUGUUGGGUUAAGUCCCGCAACGAGCGCAACCCUUAUUGUUAGUUGCCAUCAUUAAGUUGGGCACUCUAGCGAGACUGCCGGUAAUAAACCGGAGGAAGGUGGGGAUGACGUCAAAUCAUCAUGCCCCUUAUGACCUGGGCUACACACGUGCUACAAUGGUCGGUACAACGAGUUGCGAGCCGGUGACGGCAAGCUAAUCUCUGAAAGCCGAUCUCAGUUCGGAUUGGAGGCUGCAACUCGCCUCCAUGAAGUCGGAGUCGCUAGUAAUCGCGGAUCAGCACGCCGCGGUGAAUACGUUCCCGGGCCUUGUACACACCGCCCGUCACACCACGAGAGUUUGUAACACCCGAAGUCGGUGAGGUAACC